Small nuclear RNA from Uranotaenia lowii, 136 nucleotides. RefSeq annotates it as U4 spliceosomal RNA. The record is from RefSeq and is a predicted model, not a curated record. The transcript has a single exon. NCBI's taxonomy places the organism in Eukaryota, Metazoa, Arthropoda, Insecta, Diptera, Culicidae.
AGCUUUGCGCAUUGGCGAUAUCGUAACCAAUGAGGUUCUACCGAGGUGCGAUUAUUGCUAGUUGAAAACUAAAAAAACAUUGGAAUUCCAUUAUUAUUAUUAUUUUUUUUUCCUUUUUUCUCAGGGAUUUUAAACC